This is a long non-coding RNA of Mustela lutreola (European mink), 1053 nucleotides long. RefSeq lists it as uncharacterized. The record is from RefSeq and is a predicted model, not a curated record. The transcript is spliced from 3 exons. Lineage: Eukaryota; Metazoa; Chordata; Mammalia; Carnivora; Mustelidae.
CGCUGGCUUCUGCAGGAGCCCGCCAGAUUCUGCAAUUACCUCUGAAGCCAGUCGUUACAAAAAGCCCGGUACUCAGAGGGGAAGAAAGGCAGCUUUCAUAAUCACUGAUGAGCUCACCAGGAGAAAUUUCCUGAACCUUGAUGUCAACCAUUCAUCAGCCCUCAAAGCCCGCCUUCCUCUAGAAAAACCCCCGUCCUGAGCGGCGAUGUGAACCCGCACACCCGUGUGGGCUUGCGCAGACUCGAACAAGGGAAACGUGUCAAACUGUCGUUACUCACUGAUAAAGGAUAGCUGCAGCGACAUCAACGAUCCCGUCCUCACUGCGCUCUGUGGGCACAGGGCACACUGCAUGCUGCGUUUCCGCUGGCAGGAGCUGGGGUGUAGAGAGGCCGCAGGCCCCGCCCUCUCGGGGCUCCCAGCCCGCUGCAGCAUGGUGUGACUGGGGAUCUCGGGAGAGGGGCCCCCGCCAGCCCGUGGGGUGGGAAGCACAGGGAAGGGCCCGGGAGAGGGCGAUGGAGAGGUGGCGGCUGUGGGCCUCUGGCGUCCGCCGGAGCUUGGUGCAGUGCUCAGACACUCGUGCUUGGUCCGGGACAAGGGACCCAGCGAGGAUCACCCAAACGCAGGUCCCCGGUGCCCAGCCUGCUCCCUGCAGGCUCUGAGUCCCCAGCCAUGGUGGGGUGGCCGUCAUCUCUGGGAUGCACCCACCGACUCCCUGGUCCCUACUGAAGGGGUCUAAAGACCAUGGAGAGGCGAACGGUGUGCGGCAGCACCCCCCAGCCCCCUGCCAGCCCCUGUUCCCACCCCUUCCACAUCCCUUCUCUGACACCCACACCACUAGCCUCACAGGGAGGUCAUUCUCCCCUGGGGAUGACACAAACGAAUGGUGUAAAGAAUCCACUGGCUUGGGGCGCCUGGGUGGCUCCGUGGGUUAAGCCUCUGCCUUUAGCUCGGGUCCUGAUCUCAGUGUCCUGGGAUCGAGCCCUGCAUCGGGCUCUCUGCUCAGCAGGGAGCCUGCCUCCCCUUCUCUCUCUGCCUGCCUCUCUGCCUACUUGU